AAAGUGACUGUUAUUCACCAAUUAAAUUCUUUCCUCCCAGUGCAGAAAUCAAUCCUGUAUUUUAGUCGGUGGGGGAGAUAAAACUCUAGGACAGCAACCAGCUGUGGUGGCAGAAGGAAAGGCAAUGAGAAUUUAGAGACGGAAGCCACGCUUGGCUAAAACAGGGGGAGAAAAUGGACUCAAAUUGGCAUUGGGUGUUCACUCAAGGGCAUGUAUCCUCCGUCCUCCGCAUAAGCUGAUAGAAUCAAAAUAGACCACAGGGGGCAAAGGGCUGACUUGAGAAAUCAGUUCAAGCAGCUUGGUUGCCUCCCAGAGACUGGAAUGAACGUCCUGCGGUCACAUCCCAAGGGCGGUCGGGAAGCAAUACUCAGUUUUCACUUUUGUUUGCAGUGACUAUUAAAGAGAAGUCCAGGAGAUGGCCACUGGAGUGAUGAAACCAGCGUCUUAUGGAAAGGUCUCGGCCAAAAACCUGGAAGGGUAGAGGAAAAAAUUGUUUUUCCUUCUUCCUAAUAUAUUUUUCAUUCAUCGCAUUGGAAAUUCAAAAGUCCACCAUCUCGCUCUCUCUUUUUGGUUUGCACCAGGUGUGUGUCACUUCACGUACAGCAUUUAUGACUCAGAAACAGCUCUAUUUCAAGUCCGUGUUUGUGAGUAUAUAUGUGUUUGCAGGUUUCUAUUUUAAGAAUUUAAAGGUUAAUUAUAUUCACCUGAAUAGUGUUAUUCACCUUUGGACAGGAUAGCUUAUGUCAGAAAACUAUAUUGGGCAAACGUCAUGGUAAUGAAAAUCUCAGAGGAGAGGAGACUUUGGAGCAGGACAACUUGGCCUUGAAUCUUGGUUAUAAUACCAGCUAUUUGGCAUAAGUCCCUAGUUUCUACACGUGUAAAAUGUGAGUAAUGAUGAUAAUAGCACCUACCUCACAGGAUGUUUUUAAGAUUAAGUGAGAUAACAGAUGAAAAGCACCCAGCAUAUUACUUGAGCGAAACACACUAAAUCUUGAAGAGCCAGUAGAUAUUGCUGUGAUUCUUUCUAGAUCAGUAAACUUCAUGAAGGAGGUGGGGAUGGUGGUAGAGCAGCCAUCUAUUAUAUUUCCAACCCAACCAGCUGCCUCACCAUUAUGUGCUGUGGGCCAGAAGAGCAAAGAGAUUACAG
This 1147-nucleotide long non-coding RNA is filed under the name Canis lupus familiaris (dog). Its description in RNAcentral is "lncRNA (ENSCAFG00845000651.1)". The record is from RNAcentral. Lineage: Eukaryota; Metazoa; Chordata; Mammalia; Carnivora; Canidae.